CCUACGGGAGGCAGCAGUGAGGAAUAUUGGUCAAUGGGCGGAAGCCUGAACCAGCCAAGUAGCGUGCAGGAUGACGGCCCUACGGGUUGUAAACUGCUUUUAUACGGGAAUAACGCGCCUUACGUGUAGGGCUUUGCAUGUACCGUAUGAAUAAGGACCGGCUAAUUCCGUGCCAGCAGCCGCGGUAAUACGGAAGGUCCGGGCGUUAUCCGGAUUUAUUGGGUUUAAAGGGAGCGUAGGCCGCAUGUCAAGCGUGCUGUGAAAUGUCCGGGCUCAAACCGGGCCUUGCAGGGGGGACUGGGCGGGCUGAGGUCCGCGGAAGCAAGGCGAAAU
Molecule: ribosomal RNA, 333 nt
Filed under: uncultured bacterium
Lineage: Bacteria
Description: partial 16S ribosomal RNA
Rfam family: Bacterial small subunit ribosomal RNA
Source: RNAcentral